GACGAACGCUGGCGGCGUGCUUAACACAUGCAAGUCGAACGGAAAGGCCCUGCUUGCAGGGUACUCGAGUGGCGAACGGGUGAGUAACACGUGGGUGAUCUGCCCUGCACUUCGGGAUAAGCCUGGGAAACUGGGCCUAAUACCGGAUAGGAGCCAUUUUUAGUGUGAUGGUUGGAAAGUUUUUUCGGUGUAGGAUGAGCUCGCGGCCUAUCAGCUUGUUGGUGGGGUAAUGGCCUACCAAGGCGGCGACGGGUAGCCGGCCUGAGAGGGUGGACGGCCACAUUGGGACUGAGAUACGGCCCAGACUCCUACGGGAGGCAGCAGUGGGGAAUAUUGCACAAUGGGCGCAAGCCUGAUGCAGCGACGCCGCGUGGGGGAUGACGGCCUUCGGGUUGUAAACUCCUUUCGCUAGGGACGAAGCUUUUUGUGACGGUACCUAGAUAAGAAACACCGGCUAACUACGU
Molecule: ribosomal RNA, 464 nt
Filed under: uncultured bacterium
Lineage: Bacteria
Description: partial 16S ribosomal RNA
Rfam family: Bacterial small subunit ribosomal RNA
Source: RNAcentral